This 254-nucleotide ribosomal RNA is filed under the name uncultured bacterium. Its description in RNAcentral is "partial 16S ribosomal RNA". It matches the Rfam family "Bacterial small subunit ribosomal RNA", at positions 524 to 776 of the family's 1533-position model. The record is from RNAcentral.
UACAGGGGGUGCAAACGUUGUUCGGAUUUACUGGGCGUAAAGGGCGCGUAGGCGGUCAGCACAAGUCAGUUGUGAAAUCUCCGGGCUUAACUCGGAAAGGUCAACUGAUACUGUGCGACUAGAGUGCGGAAGGGGCAACUGGAAUUCUCGGUGUAGCGGUGAAAUGCGUAGAUAUCGAGAGGAACACCUGCGGCGAAGGCGGGUUGCUGGGCCGACACUGACGCUGAUGCGCGAAAGCCAGGGGAGCGAACGGG